UACGAAGGGGGCUAGCGUUGCUCGGAAUCACUGGGCGUAAAGCGCACGUAGGCGGCUUUCUAAGUCAGGGGUGAAAUCCUGGAGCUCAACUCCAGAACUGCCUUUGAUACUGGAGAGCUCGAGUCCGGAAGAGGUGAGUGGAACUGUGAGUGUAGAGGUGAAAUUCGUAGAUAUUCGCAAGAACACCAGUGGCGAAGGCGGCUCACUGGUCCGGUACUGACGCUGAGGUGCGAAAGCGUGGGGAGCAAACAGG
Molecule: ribosomal RNA, 253 nt
Filed under: uncultured bacterium
Lineage: Bacteria
Description: partial 16S ribosomal RNA
Rfam family: Bacterial small subunit ribosomal RNA
Source: RNAcentral